This 440-nucleotide ribosomal RNA is filed under the name uncultured bacterium. RNAcentral's name for it is "bacterial SSU rRNA". It matches the Rfam family "Bacterial small subunit ribosomal RNA", at positions 29 to 464 of the family's 1533-position model. The record is from RNAcentral.
AUUGAACGCUGGCGGCAUGCUUUACACAUGCAAGUCGAACGGCAGCACGGGGGCAACCCUGGUGGCGAGUGGCGAACGGGUGAGUAAUAUAUCGGAACGUACCCGGAAAUGGGGGAGUAACGCAGCGAGAGUUGCGCUAAUACCGCAUAUGCCCUGAGGGGGAAAGCGGGGAUCCGCAAGGACCUCGCGUUUUCGGAGCGGCCGAUAUCGGAUUAGCUAGUAGGUGGGGUAAAGGCCUACCUAGGCGACGAUCCGUAGCUGGUCUGAGAGGACGACCAGCCACACUGGAACUGAGACACGGUCCAGACUCCUACGGGAGGCAGCAGUGGGGGAAUUUUUGGACAAUGGGCGAAAGCCUGAUCCAGCCAUGCCGCGUGAGUGAAGAAGGCCUUCGGUUGGUUAAAGCUCUUUCAGCCGGAAAGAAAGACGCAUGGGUGGAA